AACGACGCUGGCGGCAGGCUUAACACAUGCAAGUCGAACGCCCCGCAAGGGGAGUGGCAGACGGGUGAGUAACGCGUGGGAAUCUACCCAGUUCUACGGAACAACUGAGGGAAACUUCAGCUAAUACCGUAUACGCCCUACGGGGGAAAGAUUUAUCGGAAUUGGAUGAGCCCGCGUUGGAUUAGCUAGUUGGUGAGGUAACGGCUCACCAAGGCGACGAUCCAUAGCUGGUCUGAGAGGAUGAUCAGCCACACUGGGACUGAGACACGGCCCAGACUCCUACGGGAGGCAGCAGUGGGGAAUAUUGGACAAUGGGCGCAAGCCUGAUCCAGCCAUGCCGCGUGAGUGAUGAAGGCCUUAGGGUUGUAAAGCUCUUUCAGUGGGGACGAUAAUGACGGUACCCACAGAAGAAGCCCCGGCUAACUUCGUG
This 430-nucleotide ribosomal RNA is filed under the name uncultured bacterium. RNAcentral's name for it is "bacterial SSU rRNA". It matches the Rfam family "Bacterial small subunit ribosomal RNA", at positions 33 to 507 of the family's 1533-position model. The record is from RNAcentral.